GAUGAACGCUGGCGGCGUGCCUAAUACAUGCAAGUCGAGCGAACAGACGAGGAGCUUGCUCCUCUGACGUUAGCGGCGGACGGGCGAGUAACACGUGGAUAACCUACCUAUAAGACUGGGAUAACUUCGGGAAACCGGAGCUAAUACCGGAUAAUAUAUUGAACCGCAUGGUUCAAUAGUGAAAGACGGUUUUGCUGUCACUUAUAGAUGGAUCCGCGCCGCAUUAGCUAGUUGGUAAGGUAACGGCUUACCAAGGCAACGAUGCGUAGCCGACCUGAGAGGGUGAUCGGCCACACUGGAACUGAGACACGGUCCAGACUCCUACGGGAGGUAGCAGUAGGGAAUCUUCCGCAAUGGGCGAAAGCCUGACGGAGCAACGCCGCGUGAGUGAUGAAGGUCUUCGGAUCGUAAAACUCUGUUAUUAGGGAAGAACAAAUGUGUAAGUAACUAUGCACGUCUUGACGGUACCUAAUCAGAAAGCCACGGCUAACUACGUG
Molecule: ribosomal RNA, 497 nt
Filed under: uncultured bacterium
Lineage: Bacteria
Description: partial 16S ribosomal RNA
Rfam family: Bacterial small subunit ribosomal RNA
Source: RNAcentral